This 421-nucleotide ribosomal RNA is filed under the name uncultured bacterium. Its description in RNAcentral is "bacterial SSU rRNA". It matches the Rfam family "Bacterial small subunit ribosomal RNA", at positions 355 to 774 of the family's 1533-position model. The record is from RNAcentral.
UAAGGAAUAUUGGUCAAUGGACGCAAGUCUGAACCAGCCAUGCCGCGUGAAGGAUGAAGGUCCUCUGGAUUGUAAACUUCUUUUAUCUGGGACGAAAACGGGAUUUUUAUCUCAAUUGACGGUACCAGAGGAAUAAGCACCGGCUAACUCCGUGCCAGCAGCCGCGGUAAUACGGAGGGUGCGAGCGUUAUCCGGAUUUACUGGGUUUAAAGGGUGCGUAGGUGGGCUUAUAAGUCAGUGGUGAAAUCUCCGAGCUUAACUUGGAAACUGCCGUUGAUACUAUAGGUCUUGAAUUAUCUGGAGGUAAGCGGAAUAUGUCAUGUAGCGGUGAAAUGCUUAGAUAUGACAUAGAACACCAAUUGCGAAGGCAGCUUACUACAUAUAAAUUAACGCUGAGGCACGAAAGCGUGGGGAUCAAACA